GAACUACUCCCUCCGUCUCAAAAUUCUUGUCGUACGUUUGUCUAUAAAUAGAUGUAUCUAAAUAUCAAAAUAUGACUAGAUAUAUUAAUAUCUAGACAAAACUAAGACAAGAAUUUUAGAACGAAAGGAGUUUAUA
This is a non-coding RNA of Hordeum vulgare subsp. vulgare (domesticated barley), 136 nucleotides long. The record is from Rfam. NCBI's taxonomy places the organism in Eukaryota, Viridiplantae, Streptophyta, Magnoliopsida, Poales, Poaceae.